This is a long non-coding RNA of Helianthus annuus (common sunflower), 328 nucleotides long. RefSeq lists it as uncharacterized. The transcript has 2 exons. The record is from RefSeq and is a predicted model, not a curated record. NCBI's taxonomy places the organism in Eukaryota, Viridiplantae, Streptophyta, Magnoliopsida, Asterales, Asteraceae.
CCACCCAUCUCUCCUUUACUUUCUCACACACAUUUACAAAUCCCCCAUAUAACUUUCAAUCAAACCAAUGGCGCUCAGCUGGAAAGAUUGGUGCCUUGAAGUUGGAUUGGAAGAAGACAACAAGUAGAGAAAUAUGCUAUGACCGGAAAAUUGAAGAAAGUUUGUUUAUACACUUAAAUGAAAGGGAGACUAGAAUAGUUGUCAGAUAAUCCGCCACAAAAUGUUCUUUAAUGUUGAAAUUAGGUGUAUGGUUUUUGUAUAGUUUGGAUUUUAUUGUGUUAUUUGAAUAAGUUGGUAUUUUAAUUUGAUUGUUUGUAUAUUAAGUAAA